UCCUGACUGACCGAUAGUGAACCAGUACCGUGAGGGAAAGGCGAAAAGAACCCCGGCGAGGGGAGUGAAAAAGAACCUGAAACCGUGUACGUACAAGCAGUGGGAGCACGCUUAGGCGUGUGACUGCGUACCUUUUGUAUAAUGGGUCAGCGACUUAUAUUCUGUAGCAAGGUUAACCGAAUAGGGGAGCCGAAGGGAAACCGAGUCUUAACUGGGCGUUAAGUUGCAGGGUAUAGACCCGAAACCCGGUGAUCUAGCCAUGGGCAGGUUGAAGGUUGGGUAACACUAACUGGAGGACCGAACCGACUAAUGUUGAAAAAUUAGCGGAUGACUUGUGGCUGGGGGUGAAAGGCCAAUCAAACCGGGAGAUAGCUGGUUCUCCCCGAAAGCUAUUUAGGUAGCGCCUCGUGAAUUCAUCUCCGGGGGUAGAGCACUGUUUCGGCAAGGGGGUCAUCCCGACUUACCAACCCGAUGCAAACUGCGAAUACCGGAGAAUGUUAUCACGGGAGACACACGGCGGGUGCUAACGUCCGUCGUGAAGAGGGAAACAACCCAGACCGCCAGCUAAGGUCCCAAAGUCAUGGUUAAGUG
This 591-nucleotide ribosomal RNA is filed under the name Shigella sonnei. Its description in RNAcentral is "partial 23S ribosomal RNA". It matches the Rfam family "Bacterial large subunit ribosomal RNA", at positions 474 to 1065 of the family's 2925-position model. The record is from RNAcentral. Lineage: Bacteria; Pseudomonadati; Pseudomonadota; Gammaproteobacteria; Enterobacterales; Enterobacteriaceae.